UUUCCGUAGGUGAACCUGCGGAAGGAUCAUUCAUAAUAAAGUGUUUUAUGGCACUUUUUAAAAAUCCAUAUCCACCUUGUGUGCAAUGUUAGAUCUCGUCAAUCUUGGCGAGAUUUUUAUACAUCAACUCAUUCUUUAACUAAUUUGUCUGAAAAAUAUUAUGAGUACUUAAUUCAAAAUACAACUUUCAACAACGGAUCUCUUGGCUCUCGCAUCGAUGAAAACGCAGC
RNAcentral lists this unclassified non-coding RNA (230 nucleotides) under plant metagenome. Its description in RNAcentral is "partial contains small subunit ribosomal RNA, internal transcribed spacer 1, and 5.8S ribosomal RNA". The stretch from base 183 to 230 matches the Rfam family "5.8S ribosomal RNA", at positions 1 to 49 of the family's 154-position model. The record is from RNAcentral.